This 253-nucleotide ribosomal RNA is filed under the name uncultured bacterium. Its description in RNAcentral is "partial 16S ribosomal RNA". It matches the Rfam family "Bacterial small subunit ribosomal RNA", at positions 524 to 776 of the family's 1533-position model. The record is from RNAcentral.
UACGAAGGGGGCUAGCGUUGCUCGGAAUCACUGGGCGUAAAGGGUGCGUAGGUGGCGGGGUUAGUCAGGUGUGAAAUCUCGGGGCUCAACCCCGAAACUGCACUUGAUACUGCCUUGCUAGAGUACUGGAGAGGAGAUUGGAAUUUACGGUGUAGCAGUGAAAUGCGUAGAUAUCGUAAGGAAGACCAGUGGCGAAGGCGAAUCUCUGGACAGUUACUGACACUGAGGCACGAAGGCCAGGGGAGCAAACGGG